GUGUCAGCCGCCGCGGUAAUACAGGGGUCUCAAGCGUUAAUCGGAAUCACUGGGCUUAAAGGGUGCGUAGGCGGACCAGUAAGCGCUUUGUGAAAUCCCCCGGCUCAACCGGGGAAUUGCAGGGCGAACUGCUGGUCUAGAGGAAACUAGAGGCGGGCAGAACGAUUGGUGGAGCGGUGGAAUGCGUAGAUAUCAAUCGGAAUGCCGAAAGUGAAGACAGCCCGCUGGGGUUUUCCUGACGCUGAGGCACGAAAGCGUGGGUAGCAAACCGGAUUAGAAACCCUCGUAGUCC
RNAcentral lists this ribosomal RNA (292 nucleotides) under uncultured bacterium. RNAcentral describes it as "partial 16S ribosomal RNA". It matches the Rfam family "Bacterial small subunit ribosomal RNA", at positions 505 to 796 of the family's 1533-position model. The record is from RNAcentral.